Molecule: ribosomal RNA, 250 nt
Filed under: uncultured bacterium
Lineage: Bacteria
Description: partial 16S ribosomal RNA
Rfam family: Bacterial small subunit ribosomal RNA
Source: RNAcentral
UACGGGGGAUGCAAGCGUUAUCCGGAAUUAUUGGGCGUAAAGAGUCCGUAGGUUGUUAUCAAAGCCUAUUGUUAAAUAUCAAGGCUUCACCUUGAAUCUGCAGUAGGAACCUGAUAACUUGAGUGCGGUAGGAGUAGGGGGAAUUCCCGGUGUAGCGGUGAAAUGCGUAGAUAUCGGGAAGAACACCGGAGGCGAAAGCGCCCUACUAGGCCGACACUGACACUAAGGGACGAAAGCUAGGGGAGCAAAC